This 551-nucleotide ribosomal RNA is filed under the name uncultured bacterium. RNAcentral describes it as "bacterial SSU rRNA". It matches the Rfam family "Bacterial small subunit ribosomal RNA", at positions 355 to 896 of the family's 1533-position model. The record is from RNAcentral.
UGGGGAAUUUUGGACAAUGGGCGCAAGCCUGAUCCAGCAAUGCCGCGUGCAGGAUGAAGGCCUUCGGGUUGUAAACUGCUUUUGUACGGAGCGAAAAGGCUUCCACUAAUACUGGGGGCUCAUGACGGUACCGUAAGAAUAAGCACCGGCUAACUACGUGCCAGCAGCCGCGGUAAUACGUAGGGUGCAAGCGUUAAUCGGAAUUACUGGGCGUAAAGCGUGCGCAGGCGGUCUUGUAAGACAGGUGUGAAAUCCCCGGGCUUAACCUGGGAACUGCACUUGUGACUGCAAGGCUGGAGUACGGGCAGAGGGGGAUGGAAUUCCGCGUGUAGCAGUGAAAUGCGUAGAUAUGCGGAGGAACACCGAUGGCGAAGGCAAUCCCCUGGGCCUGUACUGACGCUCANGGGCCGAAAGCGUGGGGGAGCAAACAGGAUUAGAUACCCUGGUAGUCCACGCCCUAAACGAUGUCAACUGGUUGUUGGGUCUUCACUGACUCAAUAACGAAGCUAACGCGUGAAGUUGACCGCCUGGGGAGUACGGCCGCAAGGUUG